Molecule: long non-coding RNA, 11126 nt
Filed under: Gossypium raimondii (Peruvian cotton)
Lineage: Eukaryota; Viridiplantae; Streptophyta; Magnoliopsida; Malvales; Malvaceae
Description: long non-coding RNA (GRAI_LNC007622)
Source: RNAcentral
UAAAGUUGGACCUAACAUAGUUCAAAGUCCAACUAUAAUGCCAACUCUGAAGCUUGUUGUCAAGGAAUGUGCGGGUCUACCUCUUACAAUUAUCGUGGUAGCUGGUACCAUGAAAGGAGAAUAUAACCCUCGUAUUUGGAAAAAUGCACUCAAAGAUUUGAAAGAGAGAAUAGGGAAAGUGGAAGGAGUGGAAGCUGAGGUAAUCGAGCGCUUGAAAUUUAGUUUCGAUCACUUGAAAGAUGAGAAAGUAAAAGAUUGUUUCUUGUAUUGUGCACUAUAUCCUGAAGAUUAUGAAAUUCAUAAGGUUGAACUAAUCGAGUGUUGGAUUGUUGAGAUAUUCAUAGACGAGAUGGACACAAGACAAGAAAUGGAAGAUAAAGGCCUUACUAUUUUGAAAAGGUUGGAAGAUAACUGCUUGUUGGAAAAUAUUACCACUCAAUUUGGUUUACAUGGUAUAAAGAUGCAUGAUGCAGUGAGAGAGAUGGCAUUGUCGAUCACAAGAAUGAAUCCUCGAUAUAUGAUACAAGCAGGUUUGCAAUUAGAAGAGUUACCAGAAAAGGAGCAAUGGAGUCCGGAUAUUGAGAAAGUGUCACUUAUGUAUAACUCCAUAUCAGAAAUUUCCAUAGAUGUGCUACCCACAAAAUGCCAACUGCUCACAACCUUGUUAUUGCAGAACAACCCUAUAAAGAAGAUCCCAUAUUCUUUCUUCACAAACAUGCCUUGUCUUAGUGUUCUCAAUUUGUCCUUCACAAAGAUCGAGAGUUUACCAAAUUCCAUCUCUGAACUAAAGAACCUCACAACAUUGUUACUUCAUAGCUGUCGAGAAUUAAGAGAUCUGCCUUGUCUUUCGAGGCUUCAAGAAUUGAAGGAGUUGGAUCUUCGUUGGACUGAAAUUGAGGAAGUCCCUGAAGGCAUAGAUAUGCUGAUAAAGCUAAGAUAUCUUGAUCUUGAAGUGUUCACUCUGAAAGAGAUACCCGCUGGACUUUUACCAAAACUCGUUCACCUUCAGCACUUGAGUUUUGCUGGGAACAAUGAAAAAAUAAGUCUAAAAGCAGAGGAGUUGGAACCAUUGAAGAAGUUGGAGCUCUUUACUGGGUGUUUCGAAGACAUCAGUGAAUUUACUAAGUUCAUCUCCUCAAUGCAACAAAGUAAGAAAAGUCUCAUCAAGUACCAUUUACGGGUGGGCUCAUAUUUAAUUCCUGCGUGGAGGACUCCUGAAAUAGAUAAAAAAGUGGCAAUUGGAGGAAUCGACAAUUGGGAAGGUGAGUUAAUUAUGCACCCAAUUGAAAUUCAAGAGUUGCAUAUUACUGAGUGCGACUAUUUGAGAAGCUUAGUUGAUGACAAUUCUUCCUUCAAAAAUGCGAUUGACUUGAGGGUUUGUAGGAUUUGGGGGUGUACAGGGAUUGAGUGUGUUGUUUCCCUGUCCUCUUGUUCCUCUUCUUCCGCUCAUCCAUUUCAGAGCCUUGAGGUGUUGGAUCUUCAAUUUCUGCCAAUGUUGAGUGCCUUUAUUAUGAAAGAUGAAGGAAUUGGUUCAGCAACAACAUCAUUGGCUCCGUCUGCCACCUUUUCCCAUCUUAAGGAAAUUACGAUAUACAGCUGCUCAAGUAUGAAGACGUUGCUUCCACAUUGGUUGCUUGCAAACCUCCAAAACCUGGAAGAGAUACAUGUGGGUGCUUGUAGUCAGCUAGUAGAAAUAUUGGGAGCAGCAACAUCAGAAGUUGAAGAAAAAGGGAGUGAUACGUUAAUCAAAUUCCAUCUUCCCAAAUUGAGAGAAUUGAGACUAAGUAAGUUACCAAAUUUGAAGAGCAUUUGCAGCAAAAGUGGAGUGAUGGUUUGCGAUUCUCUCCAACUUAUCCAAGUUGUUGUUGAGUGUGAUAAACUGAAGAGAAUUCCUCCAUUUGUUCCCCUUGUUGGCACUGGGCAGCCAUUUGCAUAUGCUCCACCUUCUCUUACCAUCAGGUCAAGCACAGAAUGGUGGGAAUGGUUGGAGUGGGAUGACCAUCCAAACUUUAAAAAUGUUCUUCGCUUCAACCCCUUUGGAAACUUUUAAGGUAUCAACCAUUUAUAGUUUAGUUUAUAUUUUCUUAUUUUAUAAACCUAAUUUCUCCAUUUUAAUUCAAUUUCAGGUAUAUUUUUGAUAUUGAAGAAGAGAAAGAUAAAAGGGUUGGUGGGAAAGAAGUAGGGGGGAGGAUAGUGCAAAAGAGAGGAGAAAAGGAAUAAUGGAAGGAAGAGGUUAGGCGCAUAAAUAAGAGAUCAAACUGCCUCCACGUUUUAAACAUUGUCCCUCUCUUACCAUUCCUUCUAUUCUCUAUUUCUUCUCUAAUAUAUAUAUACACUUCCGAAAAUAACCUUCUAAAUAUUUACUAUUAAAAUAUUUAUAUUAAUCAAAAUUAUUUAAGUUGGGACAAAACUACUAUCAUAGUUUUAUUACCAAUAAAAGUUAGGAAAGUAUUGUAAAAAGACAUAAUAUUUUUUAAUUUCCAUAAUAUUUAUAAAAGAAAAUAUAAUUGGAUCCAUUCAUAUGUAAACGUAACAUAUUUCUAAAAUUAAAUAAUAUUUUAAAUUAUGAGGACUAAAUGAGAAAAUUAAAAAGGUGAAAUCCCUUUUAAAAUAAAUUAAAAACAUUAAGGGGAUUAUGUUGCAAAUAAACCCCUCCACGUUUCCCAUAUAAAAAACAUUUUCCUUUUUCUUUUAAUUUGUGAUGGAUAAGUUGGAAAAUAAAAAUAAAAAAACUUAGUUUCCUUCUUUUUUUUCUUGCUUCAUUUUGUUGUCCGACUUUUAUUUCGAAGCCAAAGGUUUAAAUUUUGUUAGUUUUAAAUACCGAAAAUAUCAUGGUUCUCAAUAAUUAUAUAGUUUGUAACGCCAGAAAAUUUACAUUUUUAAAAAAGAAAAAGUCAAAACAAGAUAUUUUUGUUGUCGAGAGAGGCAUAGAUAUAGAGAUUCUAGAUAAAAUUUCUAUCUGGCAGCUAAGUUGCAUAUUUAUGAGUGACAUACCGCCGCAUAUUGGUGUGAUUGGAUGGAUGGACUCUUGUAAUUCUAAUUGGUGAUAUUGCUUGAACGGAGAUGGUAUGUGGCAAUUAAGGGUAUGAUAUGAUAAGAUAUGGGACAUGAUUUGAUAUACUAUGAUAAGAUAAGAUAAGAUAUGAAACAUGCUAUAAUAUGAUAUGAAAACCGAUAUGACAUAAGAUAUGCUCCGAUAUGCUCACCAAAGUUCUUUGACUUCUCAAGAAAUCGGCAUACUUAGGACCAAACGAUGUGCAGAAGCUCAAAUUGGGUCUCAGUUAUUUUAGUAUGAUGGUUCAUGUUUUUAAAUUAUUCUAGACUUUCUAGAUUUUUUGGGGGGUUGUAAAUCUGUUUCUGUAUUUUGCUUUAUGUUUUGGUUUGCUUAGUUGAAUUUAGUAAUUAUUACUUAAAACUACAAAGUUUUGUGUUUUGCAAAUAUAGUCAUGAUUUUCAAAAUUUAAUACUUUAAAAUUUUCGCUGCAAAAUAAAGUAAUCAUUUAAGUGUUUUUCUAUAAUAAAAUAAAUAGUUUUAAUGAGUGUUUUCUUAAAAACUGGAAAGUGAUUUGUCAGAAUUAAUAUUGCCAAAACACAUGAUUUCAAAUUCAAUUUCUAGGUUUUUAAAUAAGCUAAUGUAAUUUCUCCAAAUAUGAUCAUAAAGUCUGGGCCGGGUUUGGGAUGUUACAAUUUUAGUCCUUAAUUUUUAUAUUUUGAUCAAAUUGACCCUAAUUUUAUAUAAAAAUUAUAAAAAAAACUCAAAAUCAUUUAUAAAAUAGACAAAUGUAUAUAAAAUUCUAGAAAAGUAAAAUCUUGAAUAUGUUGUUGAAUAACUAAAUUGCAUGAGAAAUAAAGAAAAGUAUCAUUCAAUAGAAUCCAAUAACAAAUUAGAAACAAAACAAAAUAAAAAAGCUUAGUUUCAUGCUCUUAAAGAACAUCUAGGACUGAUAUUACAGAGACUUAUAAAAUCGACCCGGAUGUCAUUCUUUUGUCAAAAGAUUACAAAAUAUACUACAAUUUUUUUUCAAACUCAUUCCAAGUUUUAAUUACAUUUAAAUUAUUUUUCAAAACCCAAAUUGUAAAAACAAAAUGUGUUUCUUCUUCCAUGGUUGAGGUGGGCUUGGACAAGGUUUUUAUGUCACGAGCUGUUUCAACUCGAAUUCAAUUUAAAUAUUAAAAAACUAUUUUUAAAUUUUAAAUUUAAUUGAGAAUAUAAAAUAUUUUUAAUAUUUUAUUAUUUUUUGAACUCUCAAAUGGACUUUUCUGGGUUGACCGAGCUGGGCUAAAAAUGGGUUAAGCUUGAAAAAUUUUAGAUUAUUUUUUAGAGUAUAUCAGGGAGUCUAAUAAUUACAAUUUUUUUAAAAGGUUUUAAUAACACUAGAAAUCUUAUCACACGCAUAUGCGUGUGAAAAUCACGUAUUUAGAACACAUAUUUGUGUUUAAAAAGAACAUACAAUAAAUAAUGAAAAGUAUGAUUCGGAACUAAUUAAUAAUAACACAUGAAAUAUGUAUGGUAUUAAAAUAAAAAUUAGAUUAAAUUGAGAUUAAAACAAAAUUUAAACACAAAAAUAGAUGAAUAUUAAAUGAAUACAAAUGUUUAUCGUUGUUUUGUCUUCAAUACUGAGUUGGUGUCAUGUUCAUUUGUGACGCUAAAUCAAUGACAUUAUUUACAUAUACAAAUAUAUGCAUGGUGUCUCCUAGUUCAAAUAUCAUUAUGGGUAAAUUUUUAUUGAUUUAUAAAAAAAUAUAAAAUGAUGAAAACACCCUCAUUAACGUAUAUCUUACUUUGCAAAUAAAAUAGUAUUUUUGGUAAUUUUCUUAUUGAGUUGGGACCCGAUUGAUGAGUGACACCAACUCAGUAAAAUGCUUAAUACAUAGUAUAGAUAAAACAAUUCAAAACUAAAAUUUUUAAAAGAAUUUAAGGUAAAAUUCAACUAUGGUUAAGUUUUCAUUUUGGUCACUUAAUUAAAAAAUGUUACAAUUUGAUCACUAAUGUUUUCGAAAUUAUUUUCUUUUUGUCACCCGCCUGUUAAGUGGCACUUGUUUCAGUUAAUAUAAUAAUAAUUCUAGUCAUCAAUUUUUAUAUUUUCUGUCAAUUUUACUCUGAUUGUGUAUAAAAAAUUAUUAAAAUUAUUAGAUUUAAUUAUUAGAUUUAAUUUCAAGUUUUAACAUAUGAUUAUGCAUUCUUAAACCCUGUUGUCCCAUACUUUUCGAUUAAUUAUUAGAUUUAAUGAUAAAUUUAGACUUUAACGUUUGAUUAUUUUAUUAAAAUUAUAAGACCUCUAACCCAUGUUUGUCGCCUGAUUGGGGUUACGAGAUAUUACCGGACAUAUAUGAAUUUUUUUUAUAACAUAAACAAAAUGAGACAAAUCAAGUAUACCAAAUUUACAUACUGAAUAAUUAAUUCAAGUACAUAGACUAACCAUUCAAGAAAAAUAAAGUGUACAUUUUACUGAUUCAAUUAAACCAAAGUACACAGUAAUUAUUCAAACAUAUAAAAUUAUUCAACAAAAUAAAUACCUAUUUUAAUGUCAUUAAUAAUUUCAGGCUUUAGCCGAAUAUACCCUAUCCUCUAAUAAGACACAUUACCUGCUCAUUAACAGAAUACACAACCAAACCAUUUUUAUUUUUAUUUUAUAAUCACCAACAUCUUCAAACUAAACAUGUUUCAAAUACACCCUAUUUAUAAAUAUAUUAUUUCCAUACACAUAAUUAUCACUUAUUAAAAUUUUAAUCAAUCUAUGCACAAGUAAUUCAAACGUAAAUAUAGCUUGAACUACAAAUUAUAAGGCUAAUCAUACCACAUUUGGCAGUACAAAUAUAUAUAUAAUAUCCCUUGACUAAUAAGUUUCAAUCCAGUACAUAUAAGUUCAUAAUAAAUUAAGUACAAAGUAAAAUACUCAUCAACUAAUACAUUCAUUACUCAUACUUAAAUUAAUUUGGUUAAAUUAUAUCAAAUUAAUAUAGUACCACCUACUAAACGAACCAUGCAUAUAUAUAUAUAUAUAUAUAAAUGUGUAUAACAAUUUAUGCACUUAACUAUAAAACCUAACACGUGAUCGAACCAUAACCGAAUAUAUAUAUAUAUAUAUAUAUAUAUAUAUAUAUAUAUAAUACCAAAACCAAAUCACAACAUUCAAGUAUGACAAACUCACUAAUACCUAUUCACACUUACAUAUUCCACUUAACAUCAACCAAUAUAUAUAUAUUUAUACAUUCGAUCUUUGAUUUAUCUUAUAACCGAAUCACCCAACACAAAUGCAUAAUAACUACAUACCUAAUAUAAACUUAAACUAUAUCCGAAUAUAAACAAGCAAAAUAUCCAUUUUUACUUAUUUUACCAUAUGCAUCAAUGCCAAACCCAAACAAAAAGGAGAUAAGCCAUUUUCACAUGGCUAUUAGUUACACAUACACAUUAGUUCUAAAAUCAACAUAUUAACUAUGCUAUACAUGCCAUAUACUUAAGAUCAACUUAGUAAAGUACCGAAGGAAACUGUCGAUAGUGUGAUAAGUCUUGCUGACGAUCCCCGAGCUCGUAACCACUUCCAAAAUCUAUAAAACAAAGAAUAAAUAUACACACAGUAAGCUUUAGCAGCUUAGUAAGUCAUAAGCAAAUAUUUUUCACAUUAACAUUAUUAUCAACCAAUUUACCAAGCUACUAAAUAAAAUAUUUAUAUAUACAUUUAGCUUUAUAAAGUCGUAUGAAUAAACACUUAAAUACAUGUAUCUUAUUCAUGUCAUAAAUUAUAAUAGUACUAAUAGACCCAAAUCUCUAAUAAAUACAAACUUACUUACACAUUAUACAUUUAUCAAUUAAUCUUGAAUCAUCAAUUCAAUAUAAACUUACCUUAGCUUCGUUGAACUUUAAAAUUUGUUUCCACACUCGGUCUUUAAUUAACAUUGCCCGUUGAACCGUUCGGAAUUAAAAAGGAUACGUGGAAUAGUCGGAAAGCUCGUACAAUGCCAACGUCCCAGACGUGGUCUUACAUGUAUUCACAAAUCGAUGUCACUAUCCCAGACAGAGUCUUACUCAUAAACACAAAUCAAUGCCAACGUCCCAGACGUGGUCUUACACGAAAACGCAGAUCGGAAAUCCUAUGUCAUGACAUAAGUAUCCUAUCUAUUCCUAGGGUUCGUACAGGGCUUUUGAAUACAGAAACCGGAUCAAAUCGAACUCAAAAAUACAUCUCUCUAAUUCAAUACACAUUCGGCCAAACACAAUAUAUUCAUAAAAAAAAUUCAUUCAUAAUGUGAUAUUUAUAUAUUAUCAAAUUUAACAACCAUUAAAUGCUUAGAGACUUACCUCGGAUGUCGUCGACUAUUAAAUUAGCUACUCGACCACCUUUGUCUUUCCCCGAUCCAAAAUAGAUUUCUUUAAUUCUUGAUUUAAACAUAUUCAAAUUAAGCUUGUUUAAACACCAUUCUAUUCAAUUUAACCUAAAAACACAUAAAUGGGAAAAUUACAAUUUUUCCUCUAACAUUUCACACUUUUUACAAUUUAGUCCUUUUUGCUCAAAACACAAAAUAUGCAAAAUUUAACUACACUCCUUUAGAGCCGAAUAUUCCUAGGGUCUUUACAAGCUCAUACAUUUCAUUUAUUUCAUAUUUUAGCCCCUCAAAAAUUUAUUUUUACAAUUUAACCCUAAUUACUCAAAUUCAUCAAAAAUUCAAAGACAAAACAUGUUAAUCUUUCACAUAUCUUUCAUAUUUCAUCAUCAACUAUCACAAAGCUCAAGCAUUCAUCAAUGGUACAUUUCAAAAUCAUCAACAAUUCACAAAAUUAAAGCAUGGAUUUUGAAGUAUUAGAAGCAACGAUCUCAAAAACGUAAAAAUUAUCGAAAACCAAACAAAAACGAACCUUGAAUUUAAGCUUGAAGAUGGCCGAAACUUAACUAAGCUUUCAUGGCUUUCUUCCUUCUUGGUUUCGGCUAAGACAGAUGAUAAUAAUCUAAUUUUUUUAUGCUUUUAACUAUCUUAUAUUAUAGUAUUUGUUAAUUACUAAUUUAACCUUAUUUAAAUAAAUAUUUAUAACAUAUAUAUUAAGGAUAAUGUUGUCAUAUACCACGCACUAACUAAAUUUUUGUCUAAUUACAUCUUUAGACCUCCCACUUAAAAACACAACAAAAAAUAGGUACUUUUAAUAUUUAACCUCUAAAUUUUAUUUUACGCGAUUAAACCCUUUUCAUCGAAUUGAACCUUCAAACGAUUAAAUUUCUAUACCAAAUUUUCACACAUAUAACUUAACAUAUAAUAGACACUAAAAAUAAUAUUAAAAUAUUUUUCUGACUCAGAUUUUUGGUCCCAAAACCACUAUGUCCGAUUAAGGUCGAAAUCAAGUUGUUACAAAAAUGGCCCUAAUUGUGUUUUUGAGUAUUUUUUUCUAUAAACUUUUGUUCUUUUUUUCAAUCUUCUUUUUUAAAUAGAUUUAAUGAAAGUACCUUAAAAAAUUUAACUUCGAUAAAUGGAAUUUCAUAUGUCGAAUAUAUUUAAUGAGAUAUAAUUUAUUAGUUAGAUAACUCAAUAAGAUAAUUACAUAUAAAAAAUAUUAAAAUAAAUAAUACAUUAAAUUGAAAAAAAAUCUUAAAUUAAAGAAAAUAAAUGUAAUUAUUUUUUUUAAAAAUUAAGUCGGUAAAAAAACUUUUCAGUAAACAAAGUAUGAAAAAUUGAAAACUUUUGAAAGAAAAGAAAUAUUGAAACAAAGGUUGAUGGUAAAGAAAAGCUCAAAAAUAGAAUUAGGGUCAUUUUGACAAAACAAACAAAAUUAGUGACCAAAUUUAUCAUUAAACCUAAUUUUUAUUAUUAUUAUUAUUUAAUGCCAAUUAUAAUGGCUGACAGCCAAGAAAAGAGUCAAAAAAAGACGGAUUUCUUACUCAUAUUCACAACAUUCGUCUUUUUAUACAUGUAAUUAUUAAUUAUUUUCUCCUUCACUCACUUUCCCAUUAAUUCCUAUCACAAUUUUGCUUAUUUCUAUUUUCACCUUCUUCUUCACUCUUUUUAAUUUCUUUUCAUCUCCAAGGUCUAUCACUAAUUUUUAAGCAUCCAGUCAAGGUAAUUUUCUCUCAUUUGCUUCAUUCAUGACUAUACAAUGGUUGUUUUUUAUUAUCAGCUACUGUUAUAGCAGCUAGCUUUGUAAGAUAGUCAAGGUAAUAAGAUCUGAAGCAAUGGUUUCCUCUAGUGAUUAUCAACAGUUUUAGAUUUUGAGACAGGAUGAUCAGCAGACAUAAUCUACUAUAGAUGCAAAUUAAUACGAAAAGAGCUAUGCUUUGUAGGAUAGUCAAGGUAAUAAGAUCUGAAGUAGUGAUUUCCUCUACUGAUUAUCAAUUUUAAGACAGGAUGAUCAGCAGACAUAGUCUACUAUAGAUAUAAAUUAAUACGAAAAGAGCUACACAGAAGCAAUAUAAUGUUGAAAUCUCAUGCUGUUGAACAUUUUACCUCUUAAUAUUCUGUAAUGAACUCUUGCACACUUGAAUCUAGCAUGUUAUAUAGUUUGAGAGGUUGAUUCUGGAUAUACAAUGGUGACCAGAAUUUCAUCAUGUUUCUGUCUGCCACCCAUCCAUAGCUCCAUCUAAUAAACGCCACUGCUUGAAACUUGCAUUCAUGUUUUCCUUUUCAUGCUUACACUGACAUAUCAAUACUUCAUAAAAUAUCCAAUUCAUUCACAGAUUUUCAUUCUCUGCUACUGUUAUAUAUGAUUGCAUUGCAGGGACAUAGCAAUGGAGUACGUAGAGCCUGUUGUUGGCAUUGCAAAUUGUCUCGGCACUCCUGUUUGCAAAUAUUUGCAAUAUCACAGGAAGCUGAACGACUAUGUGAGAAACUUCAAGAGGAUCAGAGAGGAAUUGAAUUGCAAAAUGGAAGAUAUAGAGCUGCAAUUGAAAGCAGAGCUUCUUCGUCCUCUGGGGAAGAUACCAAAGAAGGGAGUUGAAAAUUGGUUGAAAGAUGUGAAAGAGAUGAUUAGGGAAGCACAAGCUGUUGAAAACAAAGUCAGUAACGGGAGAUAUCUCUGUCGUGCUUGCAACGGGAAGCUGGUUGAUGAAAGGACUCGAGAAAUGAAGGAAUUUCUUUAUAAGGCUCCUAAUGCCUCUAAAGGUCUUGCCAUAGAUGGUCCAAGUGGUGGGUUGCCGCUGCUAACAUCAGAACUAGUUGGAGAGGAAGCUGUCAGAAAUGAGAUUUGGGCAUGUUUGAUGCAGGAGGAGGUGAGCAAGAUUGGAGUUUGGGGGAUGGGCGGUGUGGGUAAAACCACUAUCAUGAAGCACAUCCACAAUGAUCUUUUGAAAGAACAAAGAUUCGAAAGGGUAAUCUGGGUUACCAUAUCAAAGGAGUUCAAUGUAAUGAAGGUACAAGAUAAUAUUGCAAGUGCGUUGAAGGCGAAGGAAUAUUUAGACAAAGAAGAGGACAAGGUUAGACGAGCAGCAAUCUUGUCAGAAAUGCUGAAGAACGCAGGAAAGCAUGUUCUAAUCCUAGAUGAUGUGUGGGAUAAAAUCUCUCUAGAGGAAGUUGGGAUCCCCAAGGCAAGUGGCGGCAAUGGCUGCAAGUUGGUGUUGACAACCCGUUCGGAGCAUGUCUGUAAGUAUAUGGGUUGUAAGGUGAUAAAAGUGAGGCCCCUUUCAGAAGAAGAGGCAUUGAUACUAUUCUUGAGUAAAGUUGGACCUAACAUAGUUCAAUGUCCAACUAUAAUGCCAACUCUGAAGCUUGUUGUCAAGGAAUGUGCGGGUCUACCUCUUACAAUUGUCGUGGUAGCUGGUACCAUGAAAGGAGAAUAUAACCCUCGUAUUUGGAAAAAUGCACUCAAAGAUUUGAAAGAGAGAAUAGGGAAAGUGGAAGGAGUGGAAGGUGAGGUAAUCGAGCGCUUGAAAUUCAGUUUCGAUCACUUGAAAGAUGAGAAAGUAAAAGAUUGCUUCUUGUAUUGUGCAUUAUAUCCUGAAGAUUAUGAAAUUCGUAAGGUUGAACUAAUCGAGUGUUGGAUUGCUGAGAUAUUCAUAGACAAGAUGGACACAAGACAAGAAAUGGAAGAUAAAGGCCUUACUAUUUUGAAAAGGUUGGAAGAUAACUGCUUGUUGGAAAAUAAUAGCACUCAAUUUGGUUUACAUGGUGUAAAGAUGCAUGAUGCAGUGAGAGACAUGGCAUUGUCG